This 453-nucleotide ribosomal RNA is filed under the name uncultured bacterium. RNAcentral's name for it is "bacterial SSU rRNA". It matches the Rfam family "Bacterial small subunit ribosomal RNA", at positions 39 to 473 of the family's 1533-position model. The record is from RNAcentral.
GGCCGCGGGAAUUCGAUUCAGGCCUAACACAUGCAAGUCGAACGGCAGCACGGAGCUUGCUCUGGUGGCGAGUGGCGAACGGGUGAGUAAUAUAUCGGAACGUACCCUAGAGUGGGGGAUAACGUAGCGAAAGUUACGCUAAUACCGCAUACGAUCUAAGGAUGAAAGUGGGGGAUCGCAAGACCUCAUGCUCGUGGAGCGGCCGAUAUCUGAUUAGCUAGUUGGUAGGGUAAAAGCCUACCAAGGCAUCGAUCAGUAGCUGGUCUGAGAGGACGACCAGCCACACUGGAACUGAGACACGGUCCAGACUCCUACGGGAGGCAGCAGUGGGGAAUUUUGGACAAUGGGCGAAAGCCUGAUCCAGCAAGGCCGCGUGAGUGAAGAAGGCCUUCGGGUUAUAAAGCUAUUGGGUCAGGGAAGAAACGGUGAAGGCUAAUAUCUUUUGCUAAUGAC